RNAcentral lists this ribosomal RNA (801 nucleotides) under uncultured bacterium. RNAcentral describes it as "bacterial SSU rRNA". It matches the Rfam family "Bacterial small subunit ribosomal RNA", at positions 87 to 884 of the family's 1533-position model. The record is from RNAcentral.
CUGAUUCAGCGGCGGACGGGUGAGUAAUGCCUAGGAAUCUGCCCGAUAGUGGGGGACAACGUUUCGAAAGGAACGCUAAUACCGCAUACGUCCUACGGGAGAAAGUGGGGGAUCUUCGGACCUCACGCUAUCGGAUGAGCCUAGGUCGGAUUAGCUAGUUGGUGAGGUAAUGGCUCACCAAGGCGACGAUCCGUAACUGGUCUGAGAGGAUGAUCAGUCACACUGGAACUGAGACACGGUCCAGACUCCUACGGGAGGCAGCAGUGGGGAAUAUUGGACAAUGGGCGAAAGCCUGAUCCAGCCAUGCCGCGUGUGUGAAGAAGGUCUUCGGAUUGUAAAGCACUUUAAGUUGGGAGGAAGGGCAGUAAGCUAAUACCUUGCUGUUUUGACGUUACCAACAGAAUAAGCACCGGCUAACUUCGUGCCAGCAGCCGCGGUAAUACGAAGGGUGCAAGCGUUAAUCGGAAUUACUGGGCGUAAAGCGCGCGUAGGUGGUUCAGCAAGUUGGAUGUGAAAUCCCCGGGCUCAACCUGGGAACUGCAUCCAAAACUACUGAGCUAGAGUACGGUAGAGGGUGGUGGAAUUUCCUGUGUAGCGGUGAAAUGCGUAGGUAUAGGAAGGAACACCAGUGGCGAAGGCGACCACCUGGACUGAUACUGACACUGAGGUGCGAAGGCGUGGGGAGCAAACAGGAUUAGAUACCCUGGUAGUCCACGCCGUAAACGAUGUCAACUAGCUGUUGGGUUCCUUGAGAACUUAGUAGCGAAGCUAACGCGAUAAGUUGACCGCCUGGGGAGUGCG